AUGUGUGUGUGUGUGUGUGUGUGUGUGUGUGUGUGUGUGUGUGUGUGUGUGUGUGUGUGUGUGUGUGUGUGUGUGUGUGUGUGUGUGUGUGUGUGUUGGCGUUUUCACGCCUUUGUGGGUGAUCUGUUUCUUCGUCUGUUUGUUGGGUUUGGAUGGGGGGAACGUCACUUAUGGGGGGCGGGAAGGGGUUUCUUGGGUUUCUAGGGGGUGGCAUAGGGAUAGGGGGGAGAAAUUUACAUUUACAUUUAAUGUAGUUUCAUUCUCAGGGGGGGGGGGUUUAGUGUCACUAUUAUUGAAAUGUCAACAAGCUUAACCGAUCUGUGCAAGUACUGCGAAAUAUUUAUAUAUGCCUAUUCCUACCUUAGACUCAUUCUCGCACACAGGCAGUAAUGCCUCUGCGAGAGUAAAUAUUUCUUAAUAUAUAUUUGUA
Nilaparvata lugens (brown planthopper) is the source of this 430-nucleotide long non-coding RNA. RefSeq lists it as uncharacterized. The transcript is spliced from 2 exons. NCBI's taxonomy places the organism in Eukaryota, Metazoa, Arthropoda, Insecta, Hemiptera, Delphacidae. The record is from RefSeq and is a predicted model, not a curated record.